CAGUAGCCGCGGUAAUACGAGGGGGGCAAGCGUUGUUCGGAAUUAUUGGGCGUAAAGGGUGCGUAGGCGGUUUGGCAAGUUUGGUGUGAAAUCUUCGGGCUCAACUCGAAGUCUGCAUCGAAAACUGCCGGGCUUGAGUAUGGGAGAGGUGAGUGGAAUUUCCGGUGUAGCGGUGAAAUGCGUAGAUAUCGGAAGGAACACCUGUGGCGAAAGCGGCUUACUGGACCAUAACUGACGCUGAUGCACGAAAGCUAGGGGAGCAAACAGGAUUAGAUACCCCUGUAGUCCUUGUCUCUUAUAA
RNAcentral lists this ribosomal RNA (301 nucleotides) under uncultured bacterium. RNAcentral describes it as "partial 16S ribosomal RNA". It matches the Rfam family "Bacterial small subunit ribosomal RNA", at positions 509 to 809 of the family's 1533-position model. The record is from RNAcentral.